RNAcentral lists this ribosomal RNA (455 nucleotides) under Hemisquilla californiensis. RNAcentral describes it as "partial 16S ribosomal RNA". It matches the Rfam family "Bacterial large subunit ribosomal RNA", at positions 1955 to 2607 of the family's 2925-position model. Lineage: Eukaryota; Metazoa; Arthropoda; Malacostraca; Stomatopoda; Hemisquillidae. The record is from RNAcentral.
GGUAGCAUAAUCAUUAGUCUCCUAAUUAGAGGCUUGUAUGAAUGGUCGGACAAGAUGGGAACUGUCUCGGUGCGAAAAAUAAAAUUUAACAUUUAAGUAAAAAGGCUUAAAUAAUAUGGGGGGACGAUAAGACCCUAUAAAGCUUUAUGAUAAGGCCUUUUUGUAAAGAAUUUCUAUUGUGAAAUUACUAGGGGGUUUAUAUCAUUUUACUGGGGCGGUAAAAGUAUAUAAUUGAAUAACUGCUUUUAUUAUUGAAAACAAUUAUAAUUGAAAUACAAAAUGAUCCAUUAUUAAUGAUUAUAAAAACAAGUUACUUUAGGGAUAACAGCGUAAUAUUUCUUGAGAGUCCUUAUCGAAAGAAAAGUUUGCGACCUCGAUGUUGAAUUAAGGGUAGCGUUAAGGCGCAGCAGUCUUAAAAGCAGAUCUGUUCGAUCUUUAAAACUUUACAUGAUUUG